RNA transcript from Populus nigra (black poplar), 2181 nucleotides. It is a transcript of the gene named UTP--glucose-1-phosphate uridylyltransferase 2-like, with no coding region annotated. Lineage: Eukaryota; Viridiplantae; Streptophyta; Magnoliopsida; Malpighiales; Salicaceae. The transcript is spliced from 3 exons. The record is from RefSeq and is a predicted model, not a curated record.
AUAUAAUUUGCUGUUUCAUCAUCGUCGACACGCCUGUGUUUCCCGUUCAUUCCCGCAUACUUUUCUUCCCGAAACUUCUGCAUUUAGAGACGGACGAUCCUGCUUCCCCAAAUCUCUUUCUUCAAUAUUCCAGAUUUGUUACAAAGUGUCUCUGUCGUAUUGGUCAAUAAAAAACCAGACCACUUCAUGAUGAUGGCGGCGGCGGCGGUGAGACGUCGAGGUUCAGAAGCCUUUUUUAUUGGGGCCCAAAUUCAGCGAUGUCAAAUGAAAAUAAUGGGUAUGAUUCUUCUUCUAUCUCCAACCACUUUAUCACUGUUGUCUUCCAACCACUCCAACUCCAUUUCUUCCUCUAGCAGUAGCAGUAGAUAUAAACACAGCAAUGAUGCUUCUUUAUUUAGAAACAUUGAUGACGCCCUUUCUUCUUUCAAUCACAUGCUUCAUAGGAAACCCCUGCCUUGUAUCAUCCAAUUCAAUAAAUUAUUAUCUGCAAUUGUCAAAAUGAGACAGUAUUACGAUGCUGUGAUUUCUCUUUCCAAACAAAUGGAAUUAGCUGGCCUCUCUCCUAAUACUUAUACCCUUAAUAUGUUGAUUAAUUGCUUCUGCCAGUUGCAACGUAUUGAUCUUGGGUUCUCUGUCUUGGCCAAAGGCAUUAAACUUGGUCUUCAACCCACUAUUGUUACAUUUAACACCUUAACCAAUGGGCUCUGUAAAGUGGGUAAAUUUUCCCAAGCCGCGGAAUUAUUUGAUGACAUGGUGGCAAGAGGGUGUCAACCUAAUGUCCACACUUAUAAUACAAUUAUCAAUGGCUUAUGUAAGAUCGGGGAAACUGCUGCUGCUGCUAGAUUGUUUAAGAAAAUGGAAGAGGCAGGCUGCCAGCCUAAUGUGGUGACAUACAGUACACUCAUUGACGGUCUUCGCAAAGAUAGGCGGGUGAAUGAGGCUUUAGAUAUCUUCUCUUAUAUGAAGGCUAAAGGCAUUUCCCCUGAUAUUUUCACUUACACCUCUUUAAUCAAGGGCUUAUGCAAUUCCAGCCGAUGGAAGGACGCUUCAGCAAUGCUAAAUGAAAUGAGGAGUUUGAAUAUCAUGCCAGAUAGUGUCAUCUUCAACGUGCUAAUUAAUACAUUUUGUAAAGAAGGCAAGGUUUCACAGGCUCAAGGUGUGUUAAAAACAAUGACUGAAAUGGGUGUGGAGCCUGAUGUUGUUACUUACAGCUCAUUGAUGUAUGGAUAUUCCUUGUGUAUGGAAGUUGUUGAAGCUAGAAAGCUUUUUGAUGUCAUGAUAACCAAGGGUUAUAAACCUGAUGUUUUUUGUUAUAACAUCUUAAUUAACGGAUAUUGUAAGGCCACAAGGAUAGAUAAGGCCAAGCAACUUUAUAAUGAAAUGAUUCUUCAAGGCUUAACUCCGGACAAAGUUACUUACAACACCCUUAUUCAUGGCUUGUGCCAAUUAGGCAGGCUUAGAGAAGCACAAGAUCUUUUCAAGAAUAUGCACAAGAAUGGCAACCUCCCAGAUUUAUUUGCUUACUCAAUAUUGCUCGAUGGCCUUUGCAAACAAGGGUAUCUUGGAAAGGCAUUCAGAUUGUUUCGAGCAAUGCAAAGUUCCUCCUUGAAGCCUGAUCUGGUGAUGUAUAACAUCCUGGUUGAUGCCAUGUGCAAAUCCGGGAAUCUUAAAGAUGCAAGGGAACUGUUUUCAGAACUCUUUGUCAAAGGGUUGCAGCCUAAUGUUCAGAUAUACACUACAAUAAUAAAUGGACUUUGUAAAGAAGGAUUGUUAGAUGAAGCAUUGGAAGCUUUCCGAAAUAUGGAAGAGGAUGGCUGCCCUCCAGAUGAAUUUUCUUAUAAUGUUAUUAUCCGAGGAUUUCUCCAGCACAAGGAUGAAUCAAGGGCAGUGCAUCUUAUUGGUGAAAUGAGAGACAGAGGUUUCAUUGCAGAUGCGGGGACCACAACGUGGUAGAAAAUCUGUUAUCUAAUGAAGACAAUCCUGUUCUGAAGAAGUAUCUAGGCUUACUUGAAUCUCGUCAAGGUGAAAAGGUGGAUGCUACCCCCAAUUCUGCAAAUGAGAAACAAAUAAAUACGCAAGCAGCCCUAAGGGGAAGCGCAGCAAGUUGAGUGGAGUAAGAUUCAGACACCUACUGAUGAAGUAGUGGUUCCCUUUGGGACAAGAUGUUGUUUUGAAGCUUAA